This 68-nucleotide transfer RNA is filed under the name Agonostomus monticola (mountain mullet). RNAcentral describes it as "tRNA-Ser". Lineage: Eukaryota; Metazoa; Chordata; Actinopteri; Mugiliformes; Mugilidae. The record is from RNAcentral.
GAGAGAGGCUCGCUAGCUAAAAAACUGCUAAUUUUCAUGACUUUGGUUGGACCCCAAGGCUCAACUCG